UACGUAGGGUGCAAGCGUUAAUCGGAAUUACUGGGCGUAAAGCGUGCGCAGGCGGUUGUGCAAGACAGAGGUGAAAUCCCCGAGCUUAACUUGGGAACUGCCUUUGUGACUGCAUAGCUAGAGUGUGUCAGAGGGGGGUAGAAUUCCACGUGUAGCAGUGAAAUGCGUAGAGAUGUGGAGGAAUACCGAUGGCGAAGGCGGCUCUCUGGAACGGUACUGACGCUGAGACGCGAAAGCGUGGGGAGCGUACAGG
RNAcentral lists this ribosomal RNA (253 nucleotides) under uncultured bacterium. RNAcentral describes it as "partial 16S ribosomal RNA". It matches the Rfam family "Bacterial small subunit ribosomal RNA", at positions 524 to 776 of the family's 1533-position model. The record is from RNAcentral.